AUGAUUCCUUACAUAUACUAAAUAUACAUCACCAAGAUUAAUGAAUUAGCUACACACUUUAUAAUAUAGGGUUCAACUAAUUCUACAAAAUACAAAAAGGAUUCCAUCAGAGUAAAAUCAAUUAAGAAGCACUCAUUAUCUACUAGUUCGCGAGGAGGUCCAAGUAAGCAUCCAGAGGCAGGUUGAGGGACUGACCUUCUCUAUUACAUCAUCUGAGGAUGGAU
This 224-nucleotide long non-coding RNA is filed under the name Carica papaya (papaya). Its description in RNAcentral is "long non-coding RNA (CPAP_LNC008097)". The record is from RNAcentral. Lineage: Eukaryota; Viridiplantae; Streptophyta; Magnoliopsida; Brassicales; Caricaceae.